This 492-nucleotide ribosomal RNA is filed under the name uncultured bacterium. Its description in RNAcentral is "partial 16S ribosomal RNA". It matches the Rfam family "Bacterial small subunit ribosomal RNA", at positions 29 to 507 of the family's 1533-position model. The record is from RNAcentral.
AGUGAACGCUGGCGGUAGGCCUAACACAUGCAAGUCGAACGGCAGCACAGUAAGAGCUUGCUCUUACGGGUGGCGAGUGGCGGACGGGUGAGGAAUACAUCGGAAUCUACUUUUUCGUGGGGGAUAACGUAGGGAAACUUACGCUAAUACCGCAUACGACCUACGGGUGAAAGCAUGGGAUCUUCGGACCUUGCGCGAUUGAAUGAGCCGAUGUCGGAUUUGCUAGUUGGCGGGGUAAAGGCCCACCAAGGCGACGAUCCGUAGCUGGUCUGAGAGGAUGAUCAGCCACACUGGAACUGAGACACGGUCCAGACUCCUACGAGAGGCAGCAGUGGGGAAUAUUGGACAAUGGGCGCAAGCCUGAUCCAGCCAUACCGCGUGGGUGAAGAAGGCCUUCGGGUUGUAAAGCCCUUUUGUUGGGAAAGAAAAGCAGCAGGUUAAUACCCAGCUGUUCUGACGGUACCCAAAGAAUAAGCACCGGCUAACUUCGUG